UUUGCAUCUGCAGGCAGAAGUGCUUUAAAACAAUUGGUAAAACCCAUUUCAGUGACUGUACAAUGAGCUUCAAAUGGUGUCUUGGAUCAAUAAUUGGACGAUGCAGUACGCUGGUUUUGAAUGGGGUGAGUAUCCGAAAUCUGUUUCUGAAUGCUUGAUUUCAUUGCUGCUCAUUGUUUGCUAUCCUGACAAUAGCUUUGAAGUUCCAUUGAUCUUGAGUCUACACUGCAACAUGUGGAGCUUCUCCUCCUUCAUUCAUUUAUGAUUUAGUUUUCUUCUUACACCUAUUUUCCUGUAAGUAAGUUUACAUCUAGAGGCCAGAGCAAACACUCAACUCUAUCGAAAAAACAAAAACAAAAAACUUCACUCUAGAAUCUCCAUCAAGUUGGUGUCGGGGGUGAGAUUUGGUAGGAUAUUCUGUUUCCCUUCAGCAUAAUGGGAGAUGGAUGAAGUAGUCGAGUUUGGUCGCCAUUUUUGCACUGUUACCUUCAAUUUUUUGUGCUAAUGAACGAGCAUGUUCGUGUUAACGACUUGUAGUGUUAUUGAACUUUUGCAUUUGGAUUAUAAUUUGG
This 572-nucleotide unclassified non-coding RNA is filed under the name Hevea brasiliensis (rubber tree). The record is from RNAcentral. Lineage: Eukaryota; Viridiplantae; Streptophyta; Magnoliopsida; Malpighiales; Euphorbiaceae.